This is a non-coding RNA of Pelodiscus sinensis (Chinese soft-shelled turtle), 1377 nucleotides long. The record is from RefSeq and is a predicted model, not a curated record. Lineage: Eukaryota; Metazoa; Chordata; Testudines; Trionychidae.
CAGUCACAAAACUUGCUCUGUAAACAGAGUUUAUACACCACCAAGUACAGAAGUUUAACAUUUGUUUAACUCUCCCAUUUGCUGUUUUAAACACGCAUUUUGCUGGGCAGAGGCUGGAAUGUUCAUUGCUUUGCAAGCUCACAUCUGCAUGAAAUGCAUUCGUUUGAAACUGGGCUUUUGUGUGAGCCUUCUGCACUUUCCUCAUGGAUGCUCGGGCGGGGGGCGGGGGGGCGCGGCGGGAGAUUUCCAAGCUGAUCACUUGAACUACGGGCCUGAGUAGCAAUUCUAAGGUUCCUUAGUUAACUUCCUUUUACCUCACUUCUUUGAAGCAACUAUUUCUUGUCAUUUCAUUAAGAUCUCCAGGAAGAAGGGUAACUUUGUUAGCAGAGUGGCCAAGAUAAGACGCUUGCAAAAUUGAGAUGAAACUGGCUGUGUCUUGUCCUUUAUCUUUAGUUUUAUAUGGUCUUAUUUUUAAACAAGUUAACAUCAGUGAUGAUAUGCUGCACAGAGCAGCUGGAGAUUUCUGAUUCUGAAACCGUAUAUGCGCUGUGUCGUAUCAAAUACAUUUUAUUGCAGAUGUGCCUUUUUUCAAAUGCAUUUUGAAGGCUGAUCUUUCACAUCAAGGCCCUUCUGAAUGCAUUUUUGAAAAACACUAAUGUUACCUAGUGGAACAGAGGAAGCUGGCUUACCUAGUCAACUGGGGUUUCCCUUUGAAUAGGAAAACCCCGGAGCAGCAUAGCUGGUUCUAUACCACCCGGUCAUGGGAAGGGAUGUGGAAUUAUAUGGGUCACAACAUGCUCCAGCAAUCUCUGGCAGGCAGGCAACACCUUUGGGGCCAUGGUAAGGGCUGUAAUUUAGAAACUGUUCUGUUGCUGCUCUAAACAGUGCCAGGGGCUGAAAAAGCUCCCACCUGCCCCCCUGAAGGAUUUGGGGCAGAAAGAUGAUUUAAUACCACCUUCCUGUCUUCUCAACAGCCCACGGCACGUAUGCCUGGUCUAUACUAGACUAGGCAGGUUGGCUUAAGGUAUGUAACUCUAGGAGACAGCGUACGUGGCGACAUCCACACAGCAGGAGGCUGAUGGGAGCACAAGCUCCCGUUGGCUUCCCUUACUCCUCACAGAAGGAGGCGUACUGGCCGCUGGUGGGUGCUGCCCUUAACAUUCAAUUUUAGGGGCCUAUCCUAGGCCUGCUAAAUUGAACGCUAGAAGAUCGACCUCCAGAAUGUCGAUCUUCUUGUGAGUGUGGACAUGCCCCAAGUGAGCAGACUUGAGAAUCUAUUCCUGUGUGUAUUUCAGGGCUGCAUUGCCCAGCCUAACACAGUGUGGCAGAACAAGAUCAGAUGUUAAAGUAAUCUAUCAUGGCAAAAGUUGACUUAAC